GACGAACGCUGGCGGCGUGCUUAAUACAUGCAAGUCAACUGAACUUUAGGUAGCAAUAUUUAAAGGGAGGUGGCGCACGGGUGAGUAACACGUAGGUAAUCUGCCUUCAGGACUGACAUAACUCCGCGAAAGCGGGACUAAAAUCAGAUGAUGCAGCGGCUCGACAUCGAGACAGUUGUUAAACCUUCGGGGCCUGAAGAUGAGCCUGCGUCUGAUUAGGUAGUUGGAGGGGUAAUGGCCCACCAAGCCUGCGAUCAGUAGCUGGUCUGAGAGGAUGAUCAGCCACACUGGAACUGAGACACGGUCCAGACUCCUACGGGAGGCAGCAGUAAGGAAUAUUGCUCAAUGGCCGAAAGGCUGAAGCAGCAACGCCGCGUGGAGGAUGAAAUACUUUAGUAUGUAAACUCCUGUAAGAGGGGAAAAAUAUACAGUUCUGCUGUAUUGAUUGUACCCUCAGAGUAAGCACCGGCUAACUACG
This 478-nucleotide ribosomal RNA is filed under the name uncultured bacterium. RNAcentral describes it as "bacterial SSU rRNA". It matches the Rfam family "Bacterial small subunit ribosomal RNA", at positions 28 to 505 of the family's 1533-position model. The record is from RNAcentral.